RNAcentral lists this transfer RNA (88 nucleotides) under bacterium. RNAcentral describes it as "tRNA-Leu". It matches the Rfam family "tRNA". From Rfam's summary of the family: Transfer RNA (tRNA) molecules are approximately 80 nucleotides in length. Their secondary structure includes four short double-helical elements and three loops (D, anti-codon, and T loops). The record is from RNAcentral.
GCCGGAGUGGCGGAAUUGGUAGACGCAGCGGACUUAAAAUCCGCCGGUACCGUUAAGGGCCUUGUGGGUUCAAGUCCCACCUUCGGCA